This 1820-nucleotide long non-coding RNA is filed under the name Orbicella faveolata. RNAcentral describes it as "uncharacterized LOC110057480". Lineage: Eukaryota; Metazoa; Cnidaria; Anthozoa; Scleractinia; Merulinidae. The record is from RNAcentral.
UCGCGUCAUUUUUAAUAAAAUUCACUUAUCUUUGCUUGCGGCAAGUUUACGGCGUCUUUUCCCCUCAUUUGUUCCCGGCAUUUACCAUAUUGGGGUCAGUGGCAUCAAAAUUGUCAAUGUUUACAGACGAUCCAUUUUCUAAGUUCAGUGGCUCUUUGCCACUUUGAUUUACAUGUAAGACUGUCAACUCGUUUCGUCGAGCAGUUUCGUGGUUUUCUUUGUAAAUCAUACAGAACUACAGCUGGACCUAAAGGCAAAUAACACAAACAGAAGGUGCCACGCACUAAUCCCUCUCGAAAGUAAUUUAGCAUAAAUAUUUUUACAUCAUUAAACAAGCCUACAAGCCCUUUGCAUAUUACUUAAACGUCUUUGCAUCAUCUGAAGCAGCGUCCAAACUGUGUUUAUGGCGCUUUCAACAAAACGGUUUGAUGACCGCGUUUCGCGUUUCGCCUUAAUAUUUCUGUUCUUUUUCUGCAUUGUGGGAUUUCUACUGGGAAUCGUGUUUAUUUAUCUGAAUGUGAACGAUCGAAUAAGCAAGCUCGAGCAGAAAGUUUUUCCCGCGAGCAACGAGGGAUCGGACUCAUUCACCACAGCGGCGUCUCGAGUUUAGCCGGUACACUGAACAAGGGACAUUAUACAUCUAGAUCAAUCUGCAAGAGUGGAAGAGAACUCAUAUGGAUCCCAAGGAUGAUUAAGAUAACGCGGCCAAGGUCUACUGACAAAUAGAAACAAAAGCCACUGAUUUUUUUGAACUGAGACAGGACUUCAGGCUAUGGAAAGCGACUCACUGCAUUCCAUGUGAAUAUUCAGUGUGUUCAGGUCUCUUUUUUUCCUUCAUUAUUUCAUUAUUCCACGAAGACAGGCCUCCACUGCGAAACUGGCACUCAUCCUCAAUCGCAUGUGGAGAUUGGAGAGUGUAAUUUAGGGAAUUAAAGUACGAUAUGCAAUGAUGCGGAGACAAUUCUCCCCUAGCUCAGUCAAGAGGGAUUGAAUCGAACUACAUGCAUGGAGACCCAACUGAAUACCAAUUCAGUCUUUGUUAGAGUCUGCACUUGAAAUGAUUGUAAAUAAUAGUUGAAACAGGACAGUCACGCUGGACUUGAACAGAGCGGUCAUACCGCUUGCUUUCCUCAUUCGACCGUCUUCUUGUUUACCUGUGUGCAUGCAUGGUUGGCAUCUACUCUGUUUUAUCAAACACAAACACACAGUCGUGCGUCUACCGUGUGAAACACCUCGGUCGAAAACAUAAAUAUUGGCUACGGUUUGCUGAUUUUUGGUGAUUCCAAUUAGCAAUAAGAAAGGACAUAGAGGUAGGAGUAGUCUUAGAUAUUACAUGAAAGGAAGUAAAAUCACAAAAGGCUUGCAUAUCGAUACAUAAACGCGAGUCCCUUACGAAGGUAAACUUUUUAAAGCCAUCACCGGCGAAGAGUGUUCCAAAAUAAAAGACAAUUUCGCUUUCUGGAUAUACUCUCACGUGAUUUCUUAUCAUAUCGUUAGUAUGGCGGUAAAAUUAGAGAAAAAGUACAGUAACAGCCACCAAACUUUCAGAAUGAUAAUACGAAGUACUACGAAUAUACAUACGUGUCAUGAACAAUUUGAAAGAUCAAUUCCAUAACACGUUUUGUAAUUGCCGGCGCAUUUUAGGCACCGUUUCUGUCGCUGGCAAUGGCUGACAAAUACUAGUAUAAUUCGCUAAGAGAUCUAGGAAAAAUCUUCGUUCAGGUAUGGCAGGUAAGUCCCAGAAUUUUCCUAUUUAGGAACUUUAGGGCUGAGCCGUGGAAAAUGUAACAUUGGAAUAUUAAAGCAUAUCUUCACCAUUA